AUCUUGUGUUGUUGAGGCUGAGGACUGACUUGGGUUCUGAGACUCCCUGUCCCGGACCGCAGUGUUAAAAGGAUCUGAACAAAGUCUGCUCAAAUCUCCUGCUGUGAACCAGCAGAAUUUUUGAACAGGUUUCUUCACAUAUAAAAAUCUAUUGUAAAAAUACGGAAAAGAAUGGCAGCGGAAACGCAGACACUGAACUUUGGGCCUGAAUGGUGAGUUUUCAAAAUCUCAUCUUCUUUGAUAUUGGAUGACUAAUACAGUAGUAAAGUAUUUGACAGGUGCUAGGUGGUUUAUAAAUGUGCAUGUUUUUGAGACUUUUGCUUUAUGUGCCUCGCUGAAAACAAUGCGUUAGUUCAGGAAUAAAUUAUAUUUGGUAAAUGAGUGUAUUCUAUACUUAAUUAAAUUUUUUUUUCUUUGUCUGGUUAUAUAUGUAAUGAUGGCGGGAGUCCCACCCGCGCUAGAAAAUUAUUUUCUUUUUAUUUGAGUCAUUGUCUAGGUGCAUAUACAAUUUUAUGUAAGUAUAAUUAUAACAUUUUUAUGUCUAUGUUUUCUGCUACAUU
RNAcentral lists this small RNA (560 nucleotides) under Pongo abelii (Sumatran orangutan). RNAcentral's name for it is "retained intron". The record is from RNAcentral. Lineage: Eukaryota; Metazoa; Chordata; Mammalia; Primates; Hominidae.